Molecule: ribosomal RNA, 71 nt
Filed under: Niallia endozanthoxylica
Lineage: Bacteria; Bacillati; Bacillota; Bacilli; Caryophanales; Bacillaceae
Description: Bacterial small subunit ribosomal RNA
Rfam family: Bacterial small subunit ribosomal RNA
Source: Rfam by way of RNAcentral
UUAUUGGAGAGUUUGAUCCUGGCUCAGGACGAACGCUGGCGGCGUGCCUAAUACAUGCAAGUCGAGCGAAC